AUGAACGCUGACAGAAUGCUUAACACAUGCAAGUCAACUUGAAUUUGGGUUUUUAACUUAGGUUUGGGUGGCGGACGGGUGAGUAACGCGUAAAGAACUUGCCUCACAGCUAGGGACAACAUUUGGAAACGAAUGCUAAUACCUAAUAUUAUGAUAAUAGGGCAUCCUAUAAUUAUGAAAGCUAUAAGCGCUGUGAGGGAGCUUUGCGUCCCAUUAGCUAGUUGGAGAGGUAACGGCUCACCAAGGCGAUGAUGGGUAGCCGGCCUGAGAGGGUGAUCGGCCACAAGGGGACUGAGACACGGCCCUUACUCCUACGGGAGGCAGCAGUGGGGAAUAUUGGACAAUGGACCGAGAGUCUGAUCCAGCAAUUCUGUGUGCACGAUGAAGUUUUUCGGAAUGUAAAGUGCUUUCAGUUGGGAAGAAACAAAUGACGGUACCAACAGAAGAAGUGACGGCUAAAUACGUG
Molecule: ribosomal RNA, 466 nt
Filed under: uncultured bacterium
Lineage: Bacteria
Description: partial 16S ribosomal RNA
Rfam family: Bacterial small subunit ribosomal RNA
Source: RNAcentral